AUUGAAGGCUGGCGGCAGGCCUAACACAUGCAAGUCGAGCGGAUGAAGCGAGCUUGCUCCUGGAUUUAGCGGCGGACGGGUGAGUAACGCCUAGGAAUCUGCCUGGUAGUGGGGGAUAACGUCUGGAAACGGGCGCUAAUACCGCAUACGUUCUGAGGGAGAACGUGGGGGAUCUUCGGACCUCACGCCUUCAGACGAGCCUAGGUCGGAUUAGCUAGUUGGUGGGGUAAAGGCCCACCAAGGCCACGAUCCGUAACUGGUCUGAGAGGAUGAUCAGUCACACUGGAACUGAGACACGGUCCAGACUCCUACGGGAUGCAGCAGUGGGGAAUAUUGGACAAUGGGCGAAAGCCUGUUCCAACCAUGCCGCGUGUGUGAAGAAGGUCUUCGGAUUGUAAAGCACUUUAAGUUGGGAGGAAGGGCAGUAAGUUCAUACCUUGCUGUUUUGACGUUACCAACAUAAUAAGCACCGGCUGACUUCGUG
Molecule: ribosomal RNA, 484 nt
Filed under: uncultured bacterium
Lineage: Bacteria
Description: partial 16S ribosomal RNA
Rfam family: Bacterial small subunit ribosomal RNA
Source: RNAcentral